UACGUAGGGCGCAAGCGUUGUCCGGAAUUAUUGGGCGUAAAGAGCUCGUAGGCGGCUUGUCACGUCGGGUGUGAAAGCCCGGGGCUUAACCCCGGGUCUGCAUUCGAUACGGGCUAGCUAGAGUGUGGUAGGGGAGAUCGGAAUUCCUGGUGUAGCGGUGAAAUGCGCAGAUAUCAGGAGGAACACCAAUAGCGAAGGCAGCUCGCUGGGACGGUAUUGACGCUGAGGCGCGAAAGCGUGGGGAGCAAACAGG
This 253-nucleotide ribosomal RNA is filed under the name uncultured bacterium. Its description in RNAcentral is "partial 16S ribosomal RNA". It matches the Rfam family "Bacterial small subunit ribosomal RNA", at positions 524 to 776 of the family's 1533-position model. The record is from RNAcentral.